Molecule: ribosomal RNA, 253 nt
Filed under: uncultured bacterium
Lineage: Bacteria
Description: partial 16S ribosomal RNA
Rfam family: Bacterial small subunit ribosomal RNA
Source: RNAcentral
UACGGGGGGGGCAAGCGUUGUUCGGAAUUAUUGGGCGUAAAGAGCUCGUAGGCGGUUUGUCGCGUCUGCCGUGAACGUCCGGGGCUCAACUCCGGAUCUGCGGUGGGUACGGGCAGACUAGAGUGAUGUAGGGGAGACUGGAAUUCCUGGUGUAGCGGUGAAAUGCGCAGAUAUCAGGAGGAACACCGAUGGCGAAGGCAGGUCUCUGGGCAUUAACUGACGCUGAGGAGCGAAAGCAUGGGGAGCGAACAGG